CUCAUCUGUAGAUUGUCCAUCGGAGAGGUCCGGUUUCAUGAGGAAUCCGACAUAGGGUCGUCCGACAGUGGAGUUCGGAUGGCACUGUGGAGGUUCAUCCGCUAGAGGAGUCUCGAGGAUACUAGGGAAGGUUGAAUGUUGGAGUCUGGGAUUCAAUUCUGUCAUAGAAGUUCAGACGGAGUCUGGCUUUUAUAGGAGUC
Molecule: long non-coding RNA, 200 nt
Filed under: Elaeis guineensis (African oil palm)
Lineage: Eukaryota; Viridiplantae; Streptophyta; Magnoliopsida; Arecales; Arecaceae
Description: long non-coding RNA (EGUI_LNC002301)
Source: RNAcentral